This 340-nucleotide unclassified non-coding RNA is filed under the name soil metagenome. Its description in RNAcentral is "partial contains 5.8S ribosomal RNA, internal transcribed spacer 2, and large subunit ribosomal RNA". The stretch from base 1 to 120 matches the Rfam family "5.8S ribosomal RNA", at positions 35 to 154 of the family's 154-position model. The record is from RNAcentral.
GAUGAAGAACGUAGCGAAAUGCGAUAAGUAAUGUGAAUUGCAGAAUUCAGUGAAUCAUCGAAUCUUUGAACGCACAUUGCGCCCUUUGGUAUUCCAAAGGGCAUGCCUGUUCGAGCGUCAUUUGUACCCUCAAGCUUUGCUUGGUGUUGGGCGUCUUGUCUCUAGCUUUGCUGGAGACUCGCCUUAAAGUAAUUGGCAGCCGGCCUACUGGUUUCGGAGCGCAGCACAAGUCGCACUCUCUAUCAGCAAAGGUCUAGCAUCCAUUAAGCCUUUUUUUCAACUUUUGACCUCGGAUCAGGUAGGGAUACCCGCUGAACUUAAGCAUAUCAAUAGCGGAGGA